RNAcentral lists this ribosomal RNA (621 nucleotides) under Salmonella enterica. RNAcentral's name for it is "partial 23S ribosomal RNA". It matches the Rfam family "Bacterial large subunit ribosomal RNA", at positions 1084 to 1704 of the family's 2925-position model. The record is from RNAcentral. Lineage: Bacteria; Pseudomonadati; Pseudomonadota; Gammaproteobacteria; Enterobacterales; Enterobacteriaceae.
CCCAGACAGCCAGGAUGUUGGCUUAGAAGCAGCCAUCAUUUAAAGAAAGCGUAAUAGCUCACUGGUCGAGUCGGCCUGCGCGGAAGAUGUAACGGGGCUAAACCAUGCACCGAAGCUGCGGCAGCGACACUGAUGUGUUGUUGGGUAGGGGAGCGUUCUGUAAGCCGUUGAAGGUGGCCUGUGAGGGUUGCUGGAGGUAUCAGAAGUGCGAAUGCUGACAUAAGUAACGAUAAAGCGGGUGAAAAGCCCGCUCGCCGGAAGACCAAGGGUUCCUGUCCAACGUUAAUCGGGGCAGGGUGAGUCGACCCCUAAGGCGAGGCCGAAAGGCGUAGUCGAUGGGAAACGGGUUAAUAUUCCCGUACUUGGUGUUACUGCGAAGGGGGGACGGAGAAGGCUAUGUUGGCCGGGCGACGGUUGUCCCGGUUUAAGCGUGCAGGUGUGUGUUCCAGGUAAAUCCGGUUCACUUUAACACUGAGGCGUGACGACGAGGCACUACGGUGCUGAAGCAACAAAUGCCCUGCUUCCAGGAAAAGCCUCUAAGCCUCAGGUAACAUCAAAUCGUACCCCAAACCGACACAGGUGGUCAGGUAGAGAAUACCAAGGCGCUUGAGAGAACUCGGG